GCAAACUUGGUCAUUUAGAGGAAGUAAAAGUCGUAACAAGGUUUCCGUAGGUGAACCUGCGGAAGGAUCAUUAUUGAAUACAACUUGAUGGGUUGUAGCUGGCUCCUUGGAGCAUGUGCACACCUAUCUUGACUUUAUUCAUCCACCUGUGCACACACUGUAGUCUCUGAGGGCUGUGAACGGCCGAUUUUCGGCUGAAAAGACCGGACUAGAGAAUUGCUCGUAAAGGGCUCUUCUCAACAGCUGGCCGUGAUCUCUUUUCAGAGUCUAUGUCUUUUCUUCAUCCACUAUGUAACAUAAUAACGAAUGAUCAUAAUUAGGCCUACGUGCCUAUAAAACUUUAUACAACUUUCAGCAACGGAUCUCUUGGCUCUCGCAUCGAUGAAGAACGCAGC
RNAcentral lists this unclassified non-coding RNA (395 nucleotides) under uncultured fungus. Its description in RNAcentral is "partial contains small subunit ribosomal RNA, internal transcribed spacer 1, and 5.8S ribosomal RNA". The stretch from base 1 to 73 matches the Rfam family "Eukaryotic small subunit ribosomal RNA", at positions 1759 to 1831 of the family's 1831-position model. Lineage: Eukaryota; Fungi. The record is from RNAcentral.